RNAcentral lists this ribosomal RNA (717 nucleotides) under uncultured organism. RNAcentral describes it as "bacterial SSU rRNA". It matches the Rfam family "Bacterial small subunit ribosomal RNA", at positions 47 to 786 of the family's 1533-position model. The record is from RNAcentral.
CCUAAUACAUGCAGUCGAGCGAUGAGGCUCCUUCGGGAGUACAUCAGCGGCGAACGGGUGAGUAACACGUGGGUGACUUGCCCCGAAGAUGGGGAUAGCCUCGGGAAACGGGGGCUAAUACCCAAUGUGCUCGGUGAUUCGGUUCAUCGAGUAAAGCUCCGGCGCUUCGGGAGAGGCCUGCGGCCCAUCAGCUAGUUGGUAGGGUAACGGCCUACCAAGGCAGAGACGGGUAGGGGGCGUGAGAGCGCGGACCCCCACACUGGCACUGAGAUACGGGCCAGACUCCUACGGGAGGCAGCAGUAAGGGAUAUUGCGCAAUGGACGAAAGUCAGACGCAGCGACGCCGCGUGGGCGAUGAAGGCCUUCGGGUUGUAAAGCCCUUUUAUGGGGGAAGAGAAAAAGGACGGUACCCCAGGAAUAAGUCCCGGCUAACUACGCGCCAGCAGCCGCGGUAAAACGUAGGGGACAAGCGUUAUCCGGAUUCACUGGGCGUAAAGAGCGUUGAGGCGGUUCCGUAAGUUGGGCGUGAAAGCUCCGGGCUUAACUCGGAGAUGUCGUUCAAUACUGCGGGGCUUGAGGACAGCAGAGGAAGGUGGAAUUCCCGGUGUAGUGGUGAAAUGCGUAGAUAUCGGGAGGAACACCCGUGGCGAAGGCGGCCUUCUGGGCUGUUCCUGACGCUGAAGGCGAGAGCUAGGGGAGCGAACGGGAUUAGAUACC